This 754-nucleotide long non-coding RNA is filed under the name Olea europaea (common olive). RNAcentral describes it as "long non-coding RNA (OEUR_LNC005895)". The record is from RNAcentral. Lineage: Eukaryota; Viridiplantae; Streptophyta; Magnoliopsida; Lamiales; Oleaceae.
UUUAAAUGACAUAUAUCCACAUAAAUUUUAUAUAUUCAUCUCAACUUAAAUAUAUCCUUUUAACACUAUGAAUUCUUUUCUUUUCUUUUCUUUUGUCUUAGAAUUAGAAUAUGUAAGGAAAAUUCGUACUGGAAUUUGUUCUUGUUACUGCCAAUCACAGAAUUUCGGAUGUACUGUGGGUACAAAUGCGGAAAGGAACUAUGCCCAAUUUGUUCUUGUUACUGCCAAUCACUGAAUUCGAAGAUUAAAAUUGAAAUUUCUCAAAAUUUUCGAUGCUUUAUCGUUUUCAUUUUGGAUAUUUUCAACCAUUCAGUCUUGAAUUUGACAACAUUUAAGUAGACAUUUUUCCUGGUUUUUUAGUGCUGUUUGGUGCUGACAGAUUUUUGUUCGAUCUCCUUGGACACUGCUUCCUGUCGCUGUCAAUGUAUUUACCGGGUGAUUUCUUCCCCUAUUAAUUUGUUGAUUUUUAUUUGUCUUUUUGAGUUUGCCUCCACUCAUCUUAGUAAGUCUUGAUUUGGAAGGUGUUUGAUUCUGCUGUCAAUCUUUCACUGUAUCCAUCGAUCUUACUUUCUACGAAUCCGGAUUUUCUAUUUUGUAAUUCAAAAAAAAUUUUUUAAAAAAAAAUACUAUUUAUAUAUACGUUCUAUUCUAAUCUUGUCCUUACUAAAAUUAUUCAUUUAAAUGACAUAUAUCCACAUAAAUUUUAUAUAUUCAUCUCAAUUUAAAUAUAUCCUUUUAACACUAUGAAUUCUUU